CUAGAACCAAGUUGUGUGGCUAGGUAUUAUGCUGAUGCUAGAGAGGUAGAGGGGUUCAACAGGAGCGACAUGGGAUCACAUGCGUGCACCCUCACAUUAACACAAUGUGCUGCAUUGCUAGUGUAUUGUGCUCGAUGUGUUCUCAGGUCGCCCCUGCAGUACCUUCUUUUACCGCAUGAUUGAAGUGCCAUAGAUUUGGUAGUACGGUGAAGAUGGACUGGUGAUGCAGCAGGCUUUUUUGUGUGUGGCCAAAUCCUUACAGCAGACUUGAUGGCAAGUAGCUCUUCUUCCCCAACUUUCUUCCAGACCCCGCCUAUCAUGAGAUGACCACUGACAUCUUCUGUGGAUAAAACAUGCUCACUAUCUGAUACACAGCCAUCCUCUGUUUCCCUCAACUUCUUAACACAUCGGUUAUCUAGUAGCUGUAUAUCGGAACUAGCUUCUCUCUUGCCACUACACUGGUUCAAUUCCCAGUUCUCUUUUCUUCCUAGUAACUGAGAAACCUUUUCUGGGACAGUAUCGAAGUCCAGAACGGGAAGGCAACCAGAAGACCCAACAGCUCGAGGCAACAUUCCAAUUGGACACGGAUUCCAUGAUUUUGCCAGAACCCAUCUGUUAGUAUUUCCGGCAUCACCAUCUGUUCUCUUCACUACUUUGCUCUUCAUUUUGCGCUGUUUAAUCAUCUCUAGCUUCUCUGAUGCUUCACUUAUAGAUUCGUCUUCGUUCUUAAAUACAUUAGUUGAAUGUUUAAGAGAAUUAUCUUCUUCAGUAACAUCCAAAUUUGAUGAAACUAAUGAAGAGAGUUUGUUCAGUUUUCCCAAUAGGUAGUUGUCCCCAGUCAGUUGUGCAAGAUGGACGGCAGAAUCCAUGAGCUGGUUAUUAGCAGAAGCUGAUAGAACAAGGCAUUUACGUAGGAGUUCCAUCAGAAUUGCCUUCGAUAUCGUUUUUUCUCCUGAAGAAACUUUGAUCUCAGGUGCAGAAUCUUUUUCAAGAUGAGGCUUUAAUCCUUCAAAAUUCCCAACUAGCCACUUAAACAGAGAAGAGAGGUGUUCAACUUGGAGUAUCUCUGCCCUAUGGUCUGAUGAUGUGCGAACCCCUCCUAAACAAAUUCACAAAAGCAGCAACUACGAUCACUGACCCAUGUCCAGUAUUAAAAAUCAGUCCAGUUGAAACCAAGUAAAUAUAAUUAGAUUUCAUGCACACUCACCGUAAGUUUACCAGUAUAUAUCUAAAUACGGAGCAACUAAGAGCAUUCACAAUGGGCUCCCUAAACCACCUCCUUAGACAAAUUUUAGGGAUGAAUUGGAAAAAUACAACUCCAACCAUGCUCCAUAUCCACCUCCUAAAAUAUGGAGACCUCUAGGAGCUCCUAAAUUUGAGGAAAGAGAAAGGACUCCUAGUAGCUCUCUAUAGUUUAAUGUUUCUUUGUUUUAUGCAUAGUUUAAACUUUUAAUUAAUGUUAACUAUAUAUAUAUAUAUAUAUAUAUAUAAUUUUUUAGAGAUUGACCAUUCAUAUUGAAUUAAAAAAUAACUAAAAUAUUUAUGACUCCCUAAACUAGGGAGUAUGAUUGGAGUUCAAAUUUUAUAGAAAGUGCCUAAAAUAACUUUUCUGUGUUUUUAGCUGAAUUUUAACUUAAAAAUAGAAAGCAUGAUUGUAGAUGCUCUAAUACAUAGCAAAAUCAGGUCAUUUGAUUACCUGUCUCAAAUAGCACUGCUUCCUGAGUCUCAAUCAUAUCAAGAGCUGCAUUCAGGAGAGCCAGAAGUAACUCUGGUUCCUUAUUUGAAAAUUUUGUUAUCACAAGCUUCCACUCAUUCAAUGAAAUAUGUAGGCUCGGGCCUUUUUGGGUGUUUACUGGAAGCUUCGAGGAAUCUGAGAUACUUAUAGCAUUCAACAAGAUCUCCAACAGUACAGAAACAACUUCUGAGGAGAAGGAAGCAUACAACCCUACAAGACUUUUCAAUAUCUUGGUAAGGUCUUUCUUGGAACCUGAGAAGAAAGUACCUCAAUCAACAUAUAAAACAUCCAAGAAUUUAAAGACAUCCUUCAAAAGUUAGCUGACAGAUUGAGAUCCUCUCUAUUUGCUUUCAAAUGGACAUCCAAUCAUGCUUAAGAUGGCUGUCAAUAUAUACUACAAAAAAAAAAAAAAAACAGCGACUUUCUCUGAAACUGAUACCAUCAUACCAAUAUGACAUGAAAUUAUUAAAAGACAUAUCCUUCAAACAUUAGAGCACA
Molecule: long non-coding RNA, 2233 nt
Organism: Prunus dulcis (almond)
Lineage: Eukaryota; Viridiplantae; Streptophyta; Magnoliopsida; Rosales; Rosaceae
Exons: 2
Source: RefSeq, a predicted model, not a curated record